RNAcentral lists this ribosomal RNA (501 nucleotides) under uncultured bacterium. RNAcentral's name for it is "partial 16S ribosomal RNA". It matches the Rfam family "Bacterial small subunit ribosomal RNA", at positions 30 to 523 of the family's 1533-position model. The record is from RNAcentral.
AUUGAGCGCUGGCGGCAGGCUUAACACAUGCAAGUCGAGCGGGGGAAGGUAGCUUGCUACCGGACCUAGCGGCGGACGGGUGAGUAAUGCUUAGGAAUCUGCCUAUUAGUGGGGGACAACAUCUCGAAAGGGAUGCUAAUACCGCAUACGUCCUACGGGAGAAAGCAGGGGAUCUUCGGACCUUGCGCUAAUAGAUGAGCCUAAGUCGGAUUAGCUAGCUGGUGGGGUAAAGGGCUACCAAGGCGAAGAUCUGUAGCGGGUCUGAGAGGAUGAUCCGCCACACUGGGACUGAGACACGGCCCGGACUCCUACGGGAGGCAGCAGUGGGGAAUAUUGGACAAUGGGGGGAACCCUGAUCCAGCCAUGCCGCGUGUGUGAAGAAGGCCUUAUGGUUGUAAAGCACUUUAAGCGAGGAGGAGGCUACUUUAGUUAAUACCUAGAGAUAGUGGACGUUACUCGCAGAAUAAGCACCGGCUAACUCUGUGCCAGCAGCCGCCGUAA